Molecule: ribosomal RNA, 492 nt
Filed under: uncultured bacterium
Lineage: Bacteria
Description: partial 16S ribosomal RNA
Rfam family: Bacterial small subunit ribosomal RNA
Source: RNAcentral
GAUGAACGCUAGCUACAAGCUUAACACAUGCAAGUCGAGGGGAAACGACAUCGAAAGCUUGCUUUUGAUGGGCGUCGACCGGCGCACGGGUGAGUAACGCGUAUCCAACCUGCCCAUCACUUGGGAAUAACCUUGCGAAAGUAAGACUAAUACCCAAUGAUAUCCCACGAAGACAUCUGAAUGGGAUUAAAGAUUUAUCGGUGAUGGAUGGGGAUGCGUCUGAUUAGCUUGUUGGCGGGGUAACGGCCCACCAAGGCAACGAUCAGUAGGGGUUCUGAGAGGAAGGUCCCCCACAUUGGAACUGAGACACGGUCCAAACUCCUACGGGAGGCAGCAGUGAGGAAUAUUGGUCAAUGGGCGAGAGCCUGAACCAGCCAAGUAGCGUGCAGGAUGACGGCCCUAUGGGUUGUAAACUGCUUUUAUAAGGGAAUAAAGUGGGUCUCGUGAGACUUUUUGCAUGUACCUUAUGAAUAAGGACCGGCUAAUUCCGUG